AUUAGAAUGUGGAAUCUGUUUU
This 22-nucleotide microRNA is filed under the name Aedes aegypti (yellow fever mosquito). RNAcentral's name for it is "aae-miR-10365". Lineage: Eukaryota; Metazoa; Arthropoda; Insecta; Diptera; Culicidae. The record is from miRBase by way of RNAcentral.